This 253-nucleotide ribosomal RNA is filed under the name uncultured bacterium. RNAcentral's name for it is "partial 16S ribosomal RNA". It matches the Rfam family "Bacterial small subunit ribosomal RNA", at positions 524 to 776 of the family's 1533-position model. The record is from RNAcentral.
UACAGAGGAUGCAAGCGUUAUCCGGAAUGAUUGGGCGUAAAGCGUCUGUAGGUGGCUUUUUAAGUCCGCCGUCAAAUCCCAGGGCUCAACUCUGGACAGGCGGUGGAAACUACCAAGCUGGAGUACGGUAGGGGCAGAGGGAAUUUCCGGUGGAGCGGUGAAAUGCGUAGAGAUCGGAAAGAACACCAACGGCGAAAGCAGCUCACUACACAAAGAUUGACACUGAGGCACGAAAGCGUGGGGAUCAAACAGG